GAACGAGAAAGUGGAGCAAUCCAUGAGUAAAGUGGCGACCGGGUGAGUAACACGUGACUAACCUGCCCUUGAGUGGGGGAUAACCUCGGGAAACCGGGGCUAAUACCGCAUAACAUCGCAAGAUCAAAGGAGCAAUCCGCUGAAGGAGGGGGUCGCGGCUGAUUAGCUAGUUGGUGAGGUAACGGCUCACCAAGGCGAAGAUCAGUAGCCGGCCUGAGAGGGCGCACGGCCACACUGGAACUGAAACACGGUCCAGACUCCUACGGGAGGCAGCAGUGGGGAAUUUUGCGCAAUGGGGGAAACCCUGACGCAGCAACGCCGCGUGGAGGAUGAAGUCCCNUUGGGAUGUAAACUCCUUUCGAUCGGGACGAUUAUGACGGUACCGGAAGAAGAAGCACCGGCUAACUCUGUG
RNAcentral lists this ribosomal RNA (412 nucleotides) under uncultured bacterium. RNAcentral describes it as "bacterial SSU rRNA". It matches the Rfam family "Bacterial small subunit ribosomal RNA", at positions 64 to 507 of the family's 1533-position model. The record is from RNAcentral.